UACGGAGGGUGCAAGCGUUACUCGGAAUCACUGGGCGUAAAGGGCGCAGAGGCGACCUAGCAAGUCUGGUGUGAAAGCCCAGGGCUCAACCCUGGAAGGGCACUGGAAACUGUUAGGCUUGAGUUCCGGAGAGGAGGGGGGAAUUCCCGGUGUAGCGGUGAAAUGCGUAGAUAUCGGGAGGAAUACCGGUGGAGCAUGCGCACCUCGGGACGGCAACUGACGCUGAGGCGAGAAAGCGUGGGGAGCAAACGGG
Molecule: ribosomal RNA, 253 nt
Filed under: uncultured bacterium
Lineage: Bacteria
Description: partial 16S ribosomal RNA
Rfam family: Bacterial small subunit ribosomal RNA
Source: RNAcentral